RNAcentral lists this ribosomal RNA (395 nucleotides) under uncultured bacterium. Its description in RNAcentral is "bacterial SSU rRNA". It matches the Rfam family "Bacterial small subunit ribosomal RNA", at positions 29 to 429 of the family's 1533-position model. The record is from RNAcentral.
AUUAAACGCUGGCGGCAUGCCUUACACAUGCAAGUCGAACGGUAGCGCGGGGCAACCUGGCGACGAGUGGCGAACGGGUGAGUAAAGCAUCGGAACGUGCCCUGGAAUGGGGGAUAACGUAGCGAAAGUUACGCUAAUACCGCAUAUUCUGUGAGCAGGAAAGCAGGGGAUCGCAAGACCUUGCGUUCUGGGAGCGGCCGAUGUCGGAUUAGCUAGUUGGUGGGGUGAAAGCCUACCAAGGCGACGAUCCGUAGCGGGUCUGAGAGGAUGACCCGCCACACUGGGACUGAGACACGGCCCAGACUCCUACGGGAGGCAGCAGUGGGGAAUUUUGGACAAUGGGCGGAAGCCUGAUCCAGCCAUGCCGCGUGAGUGAAGAAGGCCUCGGUUGUAAG